Mytilus californianus (California mussel) is the source of this 861-nucleotide long non-coding RNA. RefSeq lists it as uncharacterized. The record is from RefSeq and is a predicted model, not a curated record. Lineage: Eukaryota; Metazoa; Mollusca; Bivalvia; Mytilida; Mytilidae. The transcript has 4 exons.
GAACAAUGCUGUAAAAUCGGUUAACGAAACAUGUUAAAAGGCUAAACCGAGCAUUUCAAAAGACUAUGCACAAUAUCGAUUUAAUGACCUAAAUACUGGUUUUCAGAAAACAUAUACUAUCAUACAGUUAUGUAAACUAAAUUAUAACCGGAUAAUAAAACACGUAAUCUAUCAGGAAGUCACGACUGAUGAAGAUUGUACAGCAGAAUAAAAAUGAUUGAUCAUUUGGGAUUAUCUCUUGUCCUUGAAAUAUAUUUAAACAAGUGCAGAGAUAUUUUUGCCAGAGCUUUUGUUCUUUUGCAUGAAUGUUCAAAAAGACGAAAUAUAUAUAAAUGAAAAAAGAAAAAUUUGAGAUAUUCAGCGAAAAUUCUAUGUAAAUCAGAACUACGGAGUAUGUGCUCAUGAUCAAGGAUGGAUGUACGUCCUUGAUAAAAGAAAGAUGCUGUCCAUAUGAAUGCAUUUGCUCGAUUCCUAUGUUCCUUUAUACAAAGCACUUCACAGAUAGAAACUGGACAUGUAGAAAGUACAAAGGGAGUCAUCUCCACAUUGAUACAUUGUUUGCGAAGACAUGGCACAGCCAGCGGAUAUGAUGGUUAUUUCAGUACGUGCAGACUUAUCAAGAACUGAUUAAUAAGGACAACGUUUUGUUUUAAAAGAGUAUGGCAACUGACCUGACAUCACACGAUAUAUGGAACAUUAUGCUUUUCUUAAAUUUGAUAUCAAUAAUUCAAUUAGUUUUUAUUGUAAACAUAUUUGUAUAGACCGGUUAAAGUACCGGAUCUGGCUCCUUUUAAGAUAAAUCUGAUUUUACCUGAAUUAUGAUAGUGUUAACAAUUUUCCAAUUAAAAACUUGCUACACAC